RNAcentral lists this ribosomal RNA (636 nucleotides) under Triticum aestivum (bread wheat). Its description in RNAcentral is "partial small subunit ribosomal RNA". The record is from RNAcentral. Lineage: Eukaryota; Viridiplantae; Streptophyta; Magnoliopsida; Poales; Poaceae.
AUGCCCGAGCCUCACUUAAGCUUUCUCUCCUCUCGAAGCUCGACCUUCAAGCUCCAUUUUCCUCAUGAUUUGUCUAGGUUUGGCGAUGCACCAACUAUCCAAGUGGUCUACAAAGGGCGUUGUCCCGUCUCCGUGCUCGUCGUCCUCACCCCCGUCGAUCGCCCGUGCCGAUCUCGCGCCGGCACCACCGUGGCCAUGGUUUUGGUAUCCGGCCCCGUCGGCUCUCACCCGGUCUAUGAUUCAGAUGUGAUGAACCGACAAUGGACAUACGGUGACCGAUGCACUUCAGAGUACAUUACGGGCCUGCGUAUUUUUCUCGGUGUGGCUCAGGCAACCAAGAAGAAUGGUUUUAUGUACUGUCCAUGUGUUCACUGUGGGAAUAUGAAGAAUUACUCUUCCUCGAAAACCUUUCACAUCCACCUGCUUGAGAAGGGUUUCAUGUCCAACUAUUAUGUUUGGACCAAGCACGGAGAAAGAGGUGUUAUGAUGGAAGACAAUGAAGAAAAAGAAGAUGAUGAAAACUAUCCAGAUCCUAUAUUCCCUGAAUACGGUGAUACUGCAACGAGGGAAGCUAAAGAUCAAGAGGCACCAGUUGUGCCGGAUGAUGAUCUUCGCCAGGUCAUUUCUGAUGCAUAG